Molecule: ribosomal RNA, 314 nt
Filed under: uncultured eukaryote
Lineage: Eukaryota
Description: partial 18S ribosomal RNA
Rfam family: Eukaryotic small subunit ribosomal RNA
Source: RNAcentral
CCCUUAGAUGUUCUGGGCCGCACGCGCGCUACACUGAACAGUUCAACAAGUCUUAACCUUGGCCGACAGGCCCGGGCAAUCUUUGAACGCUGGUCGUGAUGGGGAUAGACUUUUGCAAUUUUUGGUCUUCAACGAGGAAUUCCUAGUAAACGCAAGUCAUCAACUUGCAUUGAUUACGUCCCUGCCCUUUGUACACACCGCCCGUCGCACCUACCGAUUGAAUGGUCCGGUGAAGCCUCCGGAUUGGCGCGCACCUCGGUGCCGCCGAGAAGUUGGCUAAACCUUACCAUUUAGAGGAAGGUGAAGUCGUAACA